GACUAGAUAGCAAAAUGGUUAUGCAUAGGAUUGCAAAUUCUAAGAUAUUGGUUCAAAUCCAAUUCUAGUCU
This 71-nucleotide transfer RNA is filed under the name Kappaphycus alvarezii. RNAcentral's name for it is "tRNA-Cys". It matches the Rfam family "tRNA". From Rfam's summary of the family: Transfer RNA (tRNA) molecules are approximately 80 nucleotides in length. RNAcentral also lists the same sequence under 1 other name. The record is from RNAcentral. Lineage: Eukaryota; Rhodophyta; Florideophyceae; Gigartinales; Solieriaceae.